AUGCGUCUCCUCCUCCCAUUGCGCAUCCGCUAGUGUUCCCCUCUGGAGGUUUUGCCAGAAAUGGCAUCCUUCAAAACUUAAGGCCGGGCAAUUGUCCGGCCUCUUU
Molecule: small RNA, 106 nt
Filed under: uncultured Phyllobacterium sp.
Lineage: Bacteria; Pseudomonadati; Pseudomonadota; Alphaproteobacteria; Hyphomicrobiales; Phyllobacteriaceae
Description: Alphaproteobacterial ar15
Rfam family: Alphaproteobacterial ar15
Source: RNAcentral